GAUGAACGCUGGCGGCAUGCCUAAGACAUGCAAGUCGAACGAGGUGGCCCAAUGAAAACGGAGUGCUUGCACAAAGUUGGAUUUGGUUUACCACCUAGUGGCAGACGGGUGAGUAACACGUGGGUGACCUACCUCUAAGCUGGGGAUAACAAUUGGAAACGAUUGCUAAUACCGAAUAAGGUAUAAUUUUCAGGAUUAUAUUGAAAGGAGCCUUUAAAGCUUCACUUAGAGAUGGGCCUGCGGCGUAUUAACUAGUUGGUGAGGUAAUGGCCCACCAAGGUGACGAUGCGUAGCCGGACUGAGAGGUUGAACGGCCACACUGGGACUGAGACACGGCCCAG
Molecule: ribosomal RNA, 341 nt
Filed under: uncultured bacterium
Lineage: Bacteria
Description: bacterial SSU rRNA
Rfam family: Bacterial small subunit ribosomal RNA
Source: RNAcentral